AAUUUUGGACAAUGGGGGCAACCCUGAUCCAGCCAUCCCGCGUGUGCGAUGAAGGCCUUCGGGUUGUAAAGCACCUUUGGCAGGGAAGAAAAGGCGCCGGAUAAUACCUGGCGCCGCUGACGGUACCUGCAGAAUAAGCACCGGCUAACUACGUGCCAGCAGCCGCGGUCAUACGUAGGGUGCAAGCGUUACUCGGAAUUACUGGGCGUAAGGCGUGCGCAGGCGGUUCGGAAAGAAAGAUGUGAAAUCCCAGGGCUUAACCUUGGAACUGCAUUCUUAACUGCCAGGCUAGAGUAUGUCAGAGGGGGGUAGAAUUCCGCGUGUAGCAGUGAAAUGCGUAGAGAUGCGGAGGAAUACCGAUGGCGAAGGCAGCCCCCUGGGAUAAUACUGACGCUCAUGCACGAAAGCGUGGGGAGCAAACAG
Molecule: ribosomal RNA, 423 nt
Filed under: uncultured bacterium
Lineage: Bacteria
Description: partial 16S ribosomal RNA
Rfam family: Bacterial small subunit ribosomal RNA
Source: RNAcentral